Oncorhynchus keta (chum salmon) is the source of this 670-nucleotide long non-coding RNA. RefSeq lists it as uncharacterized. NCBI's taxonomy places the organism in Eukaryota, Metazoa, Chordata, Actinopteri, Salmoniformes, Salmonidae. The record is from RefSeq and is a predicted model, not a curated record. The transcript is spliced from 3 exons.
GUUGGAGAGGUGGGUGUGCAGGGGUUGGAGAGGUGUGUGUGCAGGGGUUGGAGAGGUGUGUGUGCAGGGGUUGGAGAGGUGGGUGUGCAGGGGUUGGAGAGGUGGGUGUGCAGGGGUUGGAGAGGUGUGUGUGCAGGGGUUGGAGAGGUGUGUGUGCAGGGGUUGGAGAGGUGGGUGUGUGUACUGCAUAACAUGUUAGGUGAGUUUUAAGAAGGGGGGGGGGGUAUUUGUAAAGACAUUUUACUGAUAUUAAUGUAUCAGUAAAAUUUUACUGCAUUUUACUGAUAUUAAUAUAAAUGUAUUGUUAGGUUCUGAACAGAGUAAAAACUCAAACGGACGACUAGUAAAACCUCAGAGUUUAUUCACCGCCCUGAAAGCCUCGGCUGCAAGCACAUUUCACACAUGAUCAAACAGGCAUUUAUACAUCAGGGUGUAUCUUCUCUGAACUGCCUUCUGUUGCCCAAUACUGCCUACAUGUUGCAUCGUUGUCUUGGCCUUCCAGCCGUCUGCCAGCCGUUCCUCUUAUCUGUCUCGCUGUCUAGAGAAUGAAGGAAUAGACUAUAGGCCAGUCUGUAUUGUAGACUGAUGUGUUCUGGUUGUUUCUGUGACCUCACAAUCAGUUUCAUGGUCAGAAAUGAUGGAAACCGCUUCUAUUAAAGAACCUACACCA